AGUUAUUUGCAGGCAGGAGGAAACCAGUCUCACCUGUAGGCCCUUAUACAGCUUAGAGUUUCAGGAAUGUACAUAUUCUGGUUGUGAGAAGUAAAUCUUCCUUAAGCCAUCCAAUACCUGCCUAGUCAUAUUAGACACAAGGCUAUACCUGGCAGGGAAUGGUGUAGGAGGGAUGAGACACAUCUCACACAUCUCCCGAGAGACAUGCUGUAUCUGCAAUGGCAAUCCAACAGAUGGGAGAGAGACAGAGAACCGGACACAUGAAGUCAUCAGACUUAAGAGUGUGCGCAGCCGCGUUUCAAGGACUUUGAACGUGCAUGGCAAGCAGCUGGUCUGGUCUGGCAGAAGCUGUGAGAAUAUUGGCUGGGAGGCCCUGACCUGAUCACCCCCAGAAUCAUUCCCGCGGAAAAGCUGAUGUAUUUCAGAGCAGGAUUUCAUCAGGGAGCAGCUAGAUGUUGGCAACGGCAACACGCCAUGAAUACAGCGGGGGCUGCCUUUGUGGAGCCUUUGGGGAAAUACAGCAUUUGUAAGAGAUCGCAGCAGAGGGGCUGACUCAUGUGCCUGGGUGCAAUGCUUACUGCCGGCAGGAGUUCUGCUGACGUCCCAGAAGAACUGCGCCUGUUAGCAAAUGUUUGCUUGCUUGAGGCCUGGCCUAGCAGUUAGGAGGAGAUUUCAAGGGUUCUCUUGUAGUGACAGUCCACGCCCAUUUCUCCUUAGUGGGGAAGAUACUUGGCUAUGGACAACUCUUUUUUCAGCUGGUGUUAAUACUAUGGGUUGGAACUCCUUGGUCCAGCAACUUUGGGACCAGAGUGGUCCUGAACCAGGGAGUUUGCUUGACCAAGGGAGGUCAGGACUUGGGCUCUCCCAGGGCUCCCCUGUUGGCUGCUGACCUGGCCAGUGAGCUGCCCCUGGCCUGCUAGCAGGGCUCAAAUCCAAACCGCUGGUGCUGCUCCGACUGGCAAGGCUCCCUGGCCCGGGCCAGCGGCCCUGCUCCCUGCCCCAGGCCACUGAUGUUGCUGGACCAGACAGUCCUGGACCAGAGAGGUUCAAUUUCUCCUAAUUUAAAAUAAUAAAAUUGG
Molecule: non-coding RNA, 1079 nt
Organism: Pelodiscus sinensis (Chinese soft-shelled turtle)
Lineage: Eukaryota; Metazoa; Chordata; Testudines; Trionychidae
Source: RefSeq, a predicted model, not a curated record